Molecule: unclassified non-coding RNA, 3501 nt
Organism: Saccoglossus kowalevskii
Lineage: Eukaryota; Metazoa; Hemichordata; Enteropneusta; Harrimaniidae
Source: RefSeq, a predicted model, not a curated record
GAUGUUGGCAGCCAUUAAUGUUGGGAGUCUUUACGAUCGUUUGAUAGAAACGAAUUUAGCAAAUAGUAUAUUUCCCGAAGCCAGCUAAAAUGGGGAACGAGUCGUCACUUCCGAUGGAAAUGUGUUCGCAUUUUGAUGCAGAUGAAAUUAAAAGAUUAGGAAAACGUUUUAAGAAAUUGGAUCUUGACAAUUCAGGUUCACUGAGUGUAGAAGAAUUCAUGUCAUUGCCAGAGUUACAACAAAAUCCCUUAGUGCAAAGAGUUAUAGAUAUCUUUGAUACAGAUGGAAAUGGGGAAGUUGAUUUUAAAGAGUUUAUACAAGGUGUAUCACAGUUUAGUGUCAAGGGGGAUAAGGAUUCAAAAUUAAGAUUUGCCUUUCAGAUAUAUGACAUGGACAAAGAUGGGUACAUAUCAAAUGGUGAGCUGUUUCAAGUUUUAAAGAUGAUGGUGGGUAGUAAUUUGAAAGAUACUCAACUUCAGCAGAUAGUGGACAAAACCAUUAUAAAUGCAGAUACAGAUGGUGAUGGUAGGAUAUCCUUUGAUGAAUUUUGUGCAGUUGUUGGCAACACAGAUAUUCACAAAAAAAUGGUAGUGGAUGUAUAACAGAGCUUGAAUCAAUUUUCCCUUCAUUUCAUACCAUACUUUUACCUUUUUCAUCUCUGUGUCCAAUAAAUGUAAUUUUCAAUGCUGCAGUGCAGCACUUCUUUUUCACUUCUCCCAAUAAUCUAAGACCUAGAUUAGAUAUCAUUUCUUCUUUCUAUUUAAUAUUGAAAUUAUUCUUUAUUCAAAGUAUCACUUUUUUCAGUCCUUUUUAUUUUUGAAUAUUUUUCACGUUUUCAUGGUAUUUAAAAAAUUAAUUAAUGUUUAAACAAGACAAACUUCUGCGAUGUAUUAUGUGUGACUGUCAACUCUUGGGAUUGUUGGUUCUUUUUAACACCUAUUAUCAUUUGUGGUGUGCAUCAAUUAUUUUGAUAUGCUGCUUUGAAAACCUGUUUACUUUUGGGUUUAAUUAUUGGCCUUGAUUUUCAAUAAAUACCUCUCACUUUAUCACAAACAUUAAUUUUUAGAUAAAAGAUGUUAAUUGGGACAUUACUUUGAUUCUUGUAGAGUUCUUGUUUUUCAUUGAAUUUUGUACAUGUUUGAAUGGUCAUUUGUUUAGGUUGUCUUCUGUGCUGGUCAUUUUGGUAACUUUCAGGUGUUGCCCAUCUGUGGUCCAUUCUACUUUGAAUUCUACUAGGUGUCUCCCAUCUCAAGUCACUUCUGCUAAAAAUUUUACUAUAUCUCUUCUGCUGGUCAAUUCUUUCCUAGAAUUCUACUAGGUGUCUUUCAUCUCAAGUCAAUUCUGCUUAGAAUUGUACUAGGGGGUCUCCCAUCUGCUGGUCAAUUCUUCUCAGAUUCAACUUGGUUUCACUUUUCCACCGGUCAGUUCUGCUUAGUAUUGUAUUAGGAGUCUCUCAUCUGCUGGUCAAUUCUACUUAGAAUUCUACCCGGCUUCACCCAUUCGCUUAUAAAUAUCGUGAAUACAACAAAUGCAUAUACAUAUUUGCCAUUACAAAUUAAAUAACUUUGUCAAUAUUUCUGAUCUUUUCAUAAUUAUUAAUUGGCCAAUCGUCCCAGCAGGUAUAUUGACAGCAGAUUGAUGUAAUCUGUAUUUACACGGUUUCAGGUGAAUUUAUAGCCAAGGUCUCUGUCUAAAUAUUUUCAUAUAUAUUAUGCCUAGCACUCACAAUUUUUAGUUUGUGAUCAAUGUUGUAUUUUGCAUUGUAUUAAGUUUUGUCAACAUUUUAAGUGAAAGUUAUUUGUAACUUUUGUAUUGUUUUCUUCCUAAUAAAUUAUUUGAAUAUAACUACUUGUUCAUUUCUAAACACUGUUGUUGGCCAAAUGUUAUCUUAAAAUUUAACCAGUUGCUCAUCAACGUGGAAAUUUCUUUGUGUGAAUCAACUUAAGGUUGAUCAAUAGUUUCAUGAAAGUCUUUACAUUUUUUAUUUAUUUUGCAAACAGAUUGCUCAUUGCUAUAAAGGUCAUAUGUGAAAAAAGAAAUAGGACAACAUUUUUUAAAUAAACUUGAUGUUUAUUGUACAUGAAUUAGAGUCAAGACUGUAUGGAGGUAAAGUUAAACAUAACUAUAUUUAAAGAAAAAAAGCCAUCGAUUCAUCUGUAAAGAUAAGGAAGUUUCAGUAUUUAUUUUGUAUGCUAAUGUAUAGACAAUAAAACGUGUUCUUAGGUGAGACCUCCUGUAUGUCCAGUUAGAGUCCAUCAUCGUUAAUAACAGAUGAAAUUAACAUUGUUUUUUUGCAUUCACCAAAAAAAGUUUUUUUUUUGGUUUUUUUUUUUUUACAAGUAUGCAUAUUUGUCAGUAAAGAAAUUUGAACUUUUCUUUCUUGUAUAUGUUGCAUGAAAUACAUAACAUUAGCAUAAUAUUCAUUUUUAUUCCAACACUGAACUUUCAAAAAUGGAUAGGGUAAAGAAAAUGGUGUAUUACUUGCACACACAACUGUGCAAAGAACGAAAAUGAAACUAUAUUGAUCAACCUUAAGUCAGUUUGAAUAUUAUUGGUGUUUUAGGUAAAAAUGCAGUCCCCGUAAUAUGGAUUAGGGACAUGAUUAUGAUUACUUUAGAAGCAAUAGUUUCCUGGGGGAAGUGAUAAAUAUAUUUUCUGACAUAAAAAUCAAACAUUAUUGCUAUGAAUUAUGUGAAUGACAAAAUGUUGGCAAAGCUGUAAGUUAUUUACAUAUGGUAUAUAAAAUUCCCACCAAUAACUUAGGGAGUUAAUCCCACAACUUGGAACAGAUAAUUAUUAUAGAACAUGUAUGGCUCACAUAUAUCCAAACUCAUUGUGUGUGCAUUAAUAGGUGGUUUUAAAUCUUGUCCAGCACGUUCUGUAAUGUACAUAAUUUUUUGUUCCAAAUUGUGUUUAGUUGACUGUACUUUUGACUGUUGACUGAUAUUUGUACUAAACUUCACCAGAUUUCUUUCAUUUCAAGUAUUUCCUUUGUUCAAUUUGUACUGAAUUUAAGAAAAUGAUACCUCAGUCUCACUGUCAUAAAUGAAGACCACAAUUUACAUCUUGAUAUUGUCAAGACUGGGUUAUGUAAAUAAAAUAACUUAUCAAAUUUCAUGGAUCUUAAAACCCAAAAAAAACUCAAAUAUUAUAUAGAAAUGAGCAUAGAUCCUAGAGCUUUGUGGCUCAGUUUUAUUUUAUGAAAAAGGAAAUUGAAAAGUAGUGAUGUAAUUGCAAGGAAUUGAAGAUUUAAUCUUCCUCAGUUAUACUACUUUGUGAUGAACUAUUAAAAUUGCUGGUCGACACUCCCAUCUCUCACAGAUUCCUGAAUGCAUGCUUGUUACUGCAGAAUGGAUAGUUUUACUCUACUCCAUAUUUGUUUAUACCAAGACAUAAUUUUUGCUAUACACGCACAUGUUCAAAACUUGCUUUACUUUGUUCUUGUAGCAGUUUCACUGUUGUGACGAUGUUAAUAAUUAUUAAAUGGUCAACACAUUUUUU